AUGAUCAAAGCAAAAGGACGAACUAUGGAUGGCGGCAAAGCGAAGACAGCAUCUGGAGAGUAUGAAUGCUUUGCCAGCACAAGGUCGUGGGCGCCAAGUUCUGAGGAAAUCCUCCAUGAGGACGACGAGAAGCUGCGGGAGCUGAAGGAGAAGUACCGCGAGGAGGUGUACGCCCUGGUGAGGAAGGCGCUGCUGGAGGUGCACGAGUACAACCCGAGCGGGCGCUACUCGGUGCCGGAGCUGUGGAUCUUCAAGGAGAACCGGAAGGCGACGCUCAGGGAGGUGGUGGAGUUCAUCCUCAAGCAGUGGCGCGCACUCAAGAAGAGGAAGCGCUGA
Molecule: ribosomal RNA, 336 nt
Filed under: Triticum aestivum (bread wheat)
Lineage: Eukaryota; Viridiplantae; Streptophyta; Magnoliopsida; Poales; Poaceae
Description: partial small subunit ribosomal RNA
Source: RNAcentral